This is a long non-coding RNA of Haliotis rubra (blacklip abalone), 195 nucleotides long. RefSeq lists it as uncharacterized. Lineage: Eukaryota; Metazoa; Mollusca; Gastropoda; Lepetellida; Haliotidae. The transcript is spliced from 3 exons. The record is from RefSeq and is a predicted model, not a curated record.
GGACAUAGAAUACUGAAUGAAGGAAUUGUACAAUAUAGGACAUUUGACAGUGAAUGGAGGAAUUGUACUAUAGAGGACAUUGUACAGUGGAUGAAGGAAUUGUACAAUAUAGGACAUUUGACAGUGAAUGGAGGAAUUGUACUAUAGAGGACAUUGUACAGUGGAUGAAGGAAUUGUAUAUAGGACAUUUGACAG